UACUGAGGAAAAUGGGACCACCUACUAGCAAUUACUGCAAACCAAUAGAACAAAAGUUGGGAAAAGAUGAGCCAGAUCAUCGUUAGGACUGAAUACUUCAUGGCUAUCAUAACUCAACUAUUGCAGCUUUUUUGUAGUUUUAUAUUUUUAUAAUGCAUUAUAUAAAUAAACAGAAAAAGAACCACAAAAUCCAUUUAUUAUACCUUUUACACUUUUGUUAUAAUUCCUUAGAAAUAUAUGAUACUACAUCCA
Molecule: long non-coding RNA, 252 nt
Organism: Amphimedon queenslandica
Lineage: Eukaryota; Metazoa; Porifera; Demospongiae; Haplosclerida; Niphatidae
Exons: 2
Source: RefSeq, a predicted model, not a curated record